Molecule: long non-coding RNA, 354 nt
Organism: Gadus macrocephalus (Pacific cod)
Lineage: Eukaryota; Metazoa; Chordata; Actinopteri; Gadiformes; Gadidae
Exons: 2
Source: RefSeq, a predicted model, not a curated record
ACAGACGGGGGGAAACUCCAGGCAUUGCAGUCCUGAUCCUGUAUGAUGCAGAAGAUGUCAAUCCAACCGCACAUUGAUCUCUGCAGCGUGGUCGGUGGGAGGAGAUGUGGCCGAGCAGUUGAACCAGGCUCUAUCGGUGUAAGUGGCUUUCGAUCAAUGUUGAUUUUUGCGUUAAAAGGAUGAAUAUUGGAUGUUAAUGUGCUUGAUUAUGAUGGUUCAGUACCUUGAUUUAGUGUUUGGGAGUCCGCUUCCUGAAGACGUCCAACCUGUGUCUAGUUUAUUGCUUCUCUUUCUGAAAAAUGUACUCAUCGCUUUGGUUAAAAGCAUCUGCUAAAUGCCCUCAAUGUAAAUGUA